Non-coding RNA from Pelobates cultripes (western spadefoot toad), 645 nucleotides. NCBI's taxonomy places the organism in Eukaryota, Metazoa, Chordata, Amphibia, Anura, Pelobatidae. The record is from the annotation of a GenBank genome assembly.
CUGAGAUUGUCUCUGGAUUGUCUUUGUGUAGUGUGUUUCUGGACUCUUUGCUAAUCUUGGAUUCUGACCUUUGCUUCUUGAUCUAAAUUUUGGACUGUGCCUACACACUGUCUUCCUGACCUGCGCUCCACCUGGACUUUGAUACAUGUUUGGACUAUGCUUUGGAAUCUCCCUGUGUUAGGCUCCUGCUCUGUGUCCACAACCCAAGUUCUAUUCUUGUGGACAGAUGUUAAAAUCUCAUCAGCUUAGCGUCGCUGAGUAUUAUUUUCUUUUGAGAUGAUCAGUGUUGUAUGCCUUGUUUUGAAGGUCAAAUAAUGAAUUAAAAUCGAGAAAAUUAAAUUUAGAUAUCUAGAAUCAAUAAGAAUUCUAAGGAUCACAAUUUAUGGAUAACAUGAAGAAAAUAUACAAACCAGAUACUUAAAGGGAUGGCACAACUUGUUGAUGAAUACAAUAUUCUCCCACCAACAUUUCAAACACCGAAUACAAUGUAUGCUUCUGUAAGAACAGCAAACAAGAGAAAUUUGGUGUUUAUUAUUUCAAACUAUUUGAAAAUGUCUUCUGUUAAUGUAACAUCUGAUAUCACCAACUUUAACCUGUACGUUUGAGUAUUGCACUUUUUCUCUUUUUUCGAGGAACCCAUGGACA